GAAGGUGGCGUUCGGCCAUCUCCGGUGAAAAGGGAACCGGGUGAGACUCCCGGACAGGAUGCGCUGCUGUGUGUCGAGAAAAACAAGGCCUCCACAAUCAACGUUUCCACUGCACCAAAGGUGUGGGAAGGAAGUGGAAGAGCCCGACGAGUCAGAAGACCUGCCAGUUUCG
This 172-nucleotide non-coding RNA is filed under the name pig gut metagenome. The record is from RNAcentral.